Molecule: ribosomal RNA, 1349 nt
Filed under: metagenome
Description: bacterial SSU rRNA
Rfam family: Bacterial small subunit ribosomal RNA
Source: RNAcentral
AAAUUGAAGUUAAUACUGCAUAAGCCCCUUCGGGGGGAAAGACGGCCUCUUUGCCGUCGCUUGAAGAUGAGCUCGCGCCCUAUUAGCUAGUUGGUAGGGUAAAGGCCUACCAAGGCUUAGAUGGGUAGCCGGCCUGAGAGGGUGUACGGCCACAUUGGGACUGAGAUACGGCCCAAACUCCUACGGGAGGCAGCAGUGGGGGAUAUUGCACAAUGGGGGAAACCCUGAUGCAGCGACGCCGCGUGGAGGAUGACGGUUUUCGGAUUGUAAACUCCUGUUAAGUGGGAAGAAUGACCUUAGUUUAAUAAACUAAGGGGGUGACGGUACCACUAGAGAUAGCACCGGCUAACUUCGUGCCAGCAGCCGCGGUAAUACGAGGGGUGCAAGCGUUAUUCGGAGUUACUGGCGUAAAGAGUGCGUAGGCGGUCUGCUAAGUUGAUUGUUAGAUUCCUUGGCUCAACUGAGGAUAGGCAGUCAAAACUGACGGACUAGAGGACAAGAGAGAAGGGUGGAAUUCUCGGAGUAGCGGUAAAAUGCGUAGAUCUCGAGAGGAAUAUCGGUUGCGAAGGCGGCCCUUUGGCUUGUAUCUGACGCUAAAGCACGAAAGCGUGGGGAGCAAACAGGAUUAGAUACCCUGGUAGUCCACGCUGUAAACGAUGAUCACUAGAUGUUGGUCGGGUUCGCCUGAUCAGUGUCGAAGCUAACGCGUUAAGUGAUCCGCCUGGGAAGUACGGUCGCAAGAUUAAAACUCAAAGAAAUUGACGGGGGCCCGCACAAGCGGUGGAACAUGUGGUUUAAUUCGACACUACGCGGGGAACCUUACCUAGGCUUGACAUGUAACUGCUACUGGUGGAAACACUGGGUUCUGUAGUAAUACAGACGGUUACACAGGUGCUGCAUGGCUGUCGUCAGCUCGUGUCGUGAGAUGUUGGGUUAAGUCCUUUAACGAGCGCAACCCUUGCCAUCAGUUGCUACUCUUCGGAGGCACUCUGAUGGGACUGCCUGGGGAACCAGGAGGAAGGUGGGGAUGACGUCAAGUCCUCAUGGCCCUUAUGCCUAGGGCUGCACACGUGUUACAAUGGCGAGUACAAAGGGAAGCGAAACUGUGAAGUCUAGCAAAUCUCAGAAAGCUCGUCUAAGUUCGGAUUGGAGUCUGCAACUCGACUCCAUGAAGUUGAAAUCGCUAGUAAUCGCGUAUCAGAACGACGCGGUGAAUACGUUCUCGGGCCUUGUACACACCGCCCGUCACACUAUGAGAGUCGCCAGCACCCAAAGUUGCUUUAGCUAACCGUUAAGGAGGCGAGCAGUUAAGGUGAGGGGGAUGAUUGGAGUGAAGUCGUAACAAGGUA